Sinocyclocheilus grahami is the source of this 326-nucleotide long non-coding RNA. RefSeq lists it as uncharacterized. The transcript is spliced from 3 exons. The record is from RefSeq and is a predicted model, not a curated record. NCBI's taxonomy places the organism in Eukaryota, Metazoa, Chordata, Actinopteri, Cypriniformes, Cyprinidae.
UUUCAAUUUUCAUGUAUUUACAUUAUAUUAGUUGUUCACGAAAACGUGAUAAUUUAAUUUUGUACUUUAUUUGUGUCAUUUUUGGGAAAAGAGUUUUAUAUUCAUUUUAUGUCGUGACGUCAUUUCUGUUCAGCCCGUGCUGCGUCCUCAGACUGCGUUGAGCACACUGAGGAGAGGUGGGAAGAAAAUCACAGAACGAAAACAUUUCUCAUUGUUGUACUCUCUCUCUACUCCAUCCAGACCGCGUUGAGCACGCUGAGGAGAGGUGGGAAGAAAAUCACAGAACGAAAAGAUUUCUCAUUGUUGUACUCUCUCUCUACUCCAUC